GAGAAUGGGUUGUUCCACUGCCUCCACUCUGAAAUUGAAUUAAACAUGCAAAGUCUUUUUCAUCUAAGUACAGAGAGACAAUGAGAAUGUGAAAACCUCAUUUGUUUAAAAAAGAAUAUAAGCUCACAAAUUUCAAACCACUAUUUGUCUCAUUGCAUUCUUGUCAGCAACCAAACAGAAAGAAGCAGCUUGCAUGCCUGGGACCAUCAAGUGGCAGAGCCACUCUUUGUCAUUUGGAUGAGUGGAGCUGACUGCAGGCUGUAGCUAUCAAAAGUGCCUAAUUUAAUAAUAUGAUAAUAUCCACUUGUCAAAUGGGGGUUUAUAUUUAUCCUAAGUAAAUUUACUCCAACCAAGCCUAUGAUCUUUUCUUGCUUUGGCACUGUUUACUUGGGAGGACUCGUAAACCAACAAUAAUAUAUUGAAGCAAAGCCAUCUAUAAACAUCACUGCCUGGACCAUCAGCCCAGCUGAAGCACAC
RNAcentral lists this long non-coding RNA (477 nucleotides) under Vitis vinifera (wine grape). RNAcentral describes it as "long non-coding RNA (VVIN_LNC001959)". Lineage: Eukaryota; Viridiplantae; Streptophyta; Magnoliopsida; Vitales; Vitaceae. The record is from RNAcentral.